UACGUAGGGAGCGAGCGUUGUCCGGAUUCAUUGGGCGUAAAGAGCUCGUAGGCGGCUUGAUAAGUCGGAUGUGAAACCUCCAGGCUCAACCUGGAGUCGCCAUCCGAUACUGUCAUGGCUAGAGUCCGGUAGGGGCCCACGGAAUUCCUGGUGUAGCGGUGAAAUGCGCAGAUAUCAGGAGGAACACCUGUGGCGAAAGCGGCUCACUGGACCAUAACUGACGCUGAUGCACGAAAGCUAGGGGAGCAAACAGG
RNAcentral lists this ribosomal RNA (254 nucleotides) under uncultured bacterium. RNAcentral describes it as "partial 16S ribosomal RNA". It matches the Rfam family "Bacterial small subunit ribosomal RNA", at positions 524 to 776 of the family's 1533-position model. The record is from RNAcentral.